CUAAAAGCAAUGAAGGGAACGAGUAAUUUCUAAGUCGGUGCUGAGCGAGUCAGGGAUGGUGCGAGCCUGAACACACGGUAGAAAUGAAAAUCCUCCCCGAGCUGCUCUCCGAAAAAAGCAUUUCCACAGGAAGCUUGAAACAUCAGUUUUAGUCUCCCUUAGUGGAAGCUUUGAGUAGAUAGAGCCGUGUUCUGCACGUUACAGCAGAGCGCUCUUCCCGUCAGGGAGUAGCGAUAAAGUCCAGAAUUGCGAGAUUCUGGGAAAGUUGGGUGGUACCGCGCUCACCUAAGCGUCCCAAUG
Molecule: non-coding RNA, 300 nt
Filed under: Scytonema hofmannii
Lineage: Bacteria; Bacillati; Cyanobacteriota; Cyanophyceae; Nostocales; Scytonemataceae
Description: T-box sequence
Rfam family: T-box leader
About the family: Uncharged tRNA acts as the effector for transcription antitermination of genes in the T-box leader family. T-boxes are found upstream of many aminoacyl-tRNA synthetase genes and some amino acid biosynthetic genes usually in Gram-positive bacteria.
Source: RNAcentral